UCAUGGGACUGGAAGCCCUCCAACAAGAAUUUGGGUGCUGUCUGGCCGUGUGAUCAUGGAUAAAUCAGCGCUUUCACUGGACUGAUUGGACU
Molecule: long non-coding RNA, 92 nt
Filed under: Canis lupus familiaris (dog)
Lineage: Eukaryota; Metazoa; Chordata; Mammalia; Carnivora; Canidae
Description: lncRNA (ENSCAFG00040011125.1)
Source: RNAcentral